Molecule: long non-coding RNA, 319 nt
Filed under: Helianthus annuus (common sunflower)
Lineage: Eukaryota; Viridiplantae; Streptophyta; Magnoliopsida; Asterales; Asteraceae
Description: hypothetical non coding rna
Source: RNAcentral
AUGACAUUGAAGAAUAAAGCUGACAUAAGACUAAAGGGUAUGGUUCGGCUCAUCCCCACGGGGAUGAGCCUCCACGUAGGCGCCACGUAGGCGGCUCGUGGGGGAUGAGCCAAAUGAAGGAUGGAGGGGGAUGGAGGAUAGGGCCCCACCUCAUUAUUUUAUAAUUUCCUAUGAUUUAAUUUAAUAACCCAAGUUAAUAAAAACUUUAUAAAAUUUAAAAAACACAACAUAAAACAACAUAAAUAAUUUCAUUUCAUAACAUAAAAAAAAUUACAUUUCCUAAAAAAAAAUACCGAAAAUAAAAAUAAAAAAAUUACGU